RNAcentral lists this ribosomal RNA (547 nucleotides) under Aspergillus sclerotiorum. RNAcentral describes it as "eukaryotic LSU rRNA". The stretch from base 162 to 315 matches the Rfam family "5.8S ribosomal RNA". The record is from RNAcentral. Lineage: Eukaryota; Fungi; Ascomycota; Eurotiomycetes; Eurotiales; Aspergillaceae.
CCCGUGUAUACCGUACCUUGUUGCUUCGGCGGGCCCGCCGCGCAAGCGGCCGCCGGGGGGGCGUCAAACCCCCCUCCCUAGGCGAGCGCCCGCCGGAGACACCAACGUGAACACUGUCUGAAGUUUUGUUGUCUGAGUUCGAUUGUAUCGCAAUCAGUUAAAACUUUCAACAAUGGAUCUCUUGGUUCCGGCAUCGAUGAAGAACGCAGCGAAAUGCGAUAAUUAAUGUGAAUUGCAGAAUUCAGUGAAUCAUCGAGUCUUUGAACGCACAUUGCACCCCCUGGUAUUCCGGGGGGUAUGCCUGUCCGAGCGUCAUUGCUGCCCUCAAGCACGGCUUGUGUGUUGGGUCGUCGUCCCCCCCGGGGACGGGCCCGAAAGGCAGCGGCGGCACCGCGUCCGGUCCUCGAGCGUAUGGGGCUUUGUCACCCGCUCUUGUAGGCCCGGCCGGCGCUGGCCGACGCUGAAAAGCAACCAACUAUUUCUCCAGGUUGACCUCGGAUCAGGUAGGGAUACCCGCUGAACUUAAGCAUAUCAAUAAGCGGAGGAA